AUUUGUGUGCACCCACAGGAACCCAGGCAUUACCAGGUGGGCUUCAAAAUGUAUGAGGGCUCAAAUGCCUCUAGAAAGCAGCAGCUAGCAGAGCAGUGGAGUUUGUAACCUGGCUCUGUCCAUGGGCUUCUACAUCCAGCCCAAAAUAUUUAGUCCUCUCUGCCUUCGUUAAGCAGCCCAAUAAAAGACAAAAAGAGAUUCUUUGCACUCUUGUGAGUUGAACAAAGCAUGCCUGUGCUAUCUCAAUCUCUUGUUCGCCUAUCUCUUCCGUCCUAGUGCAAGGACACCCAGGAUGCUAGUGUCAUCAUUCCAAAACUAUACCCUCAUGGAAAGAAGCCUGCUUUCAAAAAGGGCCUAUCACCCCUCCUGAAUGAGGCCUGAGCCAGUGUCAGUGAUUAUAUCCCAACUUGUUCCUAUAGGUUCUGCCUACAUACUCAGGCCAGCCUCAAUAGAGAAAUGAAGCCCUCAAAACAGAACAGAAUUCUGUAUUUAUCUGGGGUGGAUAGGCAUGGGAAGCAGGAGCUAACAGUGAGUCUUCUUUACCUACUAGAAGGCACUAAGAAGAUAAUAAGCUGUACAUUUCCUGGGCUUGAAGGAACUCAAAGGUAGCCAGAGUGCAAAACAUACAGAAUGACUAAGCUAUAAUUCAAGGCAAAAUUUAACAUUUUCCCCUUAGGUAUUGUCUGUGAGGAGGGCAGCAGAUUUCUCACUCUUCAUGUUUCUGUCCAUGUGUAGUCUCCAGUAACUGUAACAUGGGGAGCCUAUCUCACCCAGAUUGUGUGAGACUAGAGGGAAGUGGAAAAGGAGUAAUUCUCAUGUCAAUUUGCAUCCUCAUUUAAUCUAACUCCAAAAUACUUCCUUCACUAAGCCUCCAUCACUGAAGAAGGUGAUGACUUAAGUUUCAUUUGAGUUUUUCUUUCUCCAUUUGUUCAGAAGUUGAAUAAGGAAAAAAGAACUAUUUGUUGGAGUAUUGGGACCCUUUCAAAGAGUCCCUGUAGACUAUAAAUGCUUCAGAUGGUCAAAGGCACAGAAGGCUGAGUGACUUUUUAAAAAAUCCAAGAAAGCUUGGUCAAGAGGCAAGGUCUCUGAGGAUUAGUUUAAUUUCAUUGGAUAUGGCCUAAAAGUAAAUGGAUGCACUCUUGGAGGAGAUCUUAUAAACCAAUGCACAGAGGGAAGGAGAAGCAUAACUACAUGUAAAGCAAUGACAAAGUAACCAGAGCCCAAAUGGAUAGAGGCAGAGUAUGGAGAACUGUGAGCAGUCCGUAUUUACUAAUCUGUUGGUUAAGAUGUAUUCCCAAAGGCUCUUCUAAAUUCAGGAGAAGUGACUGCAAGCAGAGUCAAUGAAGACUAAGAGGAAUGUCUACACAAAAACUACUGUGAAGACUCCAAGUGGAAUAAUAUGACUGUGAAGUCUACCUAGAGGUGUGAGAAAAUGUGGGCAAACACAAAUAUGACGUUGUACACUCCACCAGACCAGAAGUCCCACGUCAGAAACAACUACAGGACUGGCAACAUAAGAAAGGCUGGGUUGGGCUGGAAAGCAUCUAAGGAAAGUUUAAGGAGGCCCAUGGAAUGCUUGUUGAGGAAGACUCCAACCAAGGGUGAGCACGAUCCAGGGGCAAAUUGUGACUUGCAUGGGAAUUGGCCAGCAUGGGAUGUUGCUCCUGAGCAUUCAGCUACAGCCUCAGUCACCUUGGAGAGGGCCAAGAAAGACUGUUAGGCACCUCCAGUCAUGAAGGAUUCACCUAAGAUUCUGAGGAAACCCAUCUGACAUCCAGAGCAUCAGAAGGAAGAAAAUCCUCCAGAAUUGGUCCCUGACAGGUAGAUGUGGAAAAGGGUUGGCUGUCCCAGGAGGAAUACUUUAGGGUACUUCUCUUAGCAGUACAUCCAGCCUAGGUCAACUCCUGACCUGCAUUGAUUCAUAUACUGGUCAGAGGAGAAGCAUGUUGCUGGCUAAGAAUACUAUGCAGCACCAUUCCUGAGAAUUUCUGCUCAUCCCCUACCCUCACCCACUCACCCCACCCCUGCCACCCAGGAUCUUCACACAAGCAUCCGCAUAACUCCAGUGAGAUCAAACUCCAAUUACAGAAGCUCAUUAAAAGAAACUGACCCCUUCUUCUAAAGGCCAGAGGGCAGGCCUUAUCUCUACAGAGUCUUCAGAGUGGCUCCUGAGACCUCCAUCUGAUUCUAACAGCUAAGCUGGGGAGAUGCGGCCCCUGAGUCAAAGUCCUGUCACCUGAAAGGGAGGCUGAUGCUGAGGUAGACCUCUGCACUGGAGUGAAUGAGAGACCUGACACACUGUUGCACACAGAAUCCAUCAGGUGUAAGAGUUAAUGCUUAGCCAUUGUUGAUUUCCUAUUUCUUGUU
This is a long non-coding RNA of Cavia porcellus (domestic guinea pig), 2367 nucleotides long. RefSeq lists it as uncharacterized. The transcript is spliced from 4 exons. The record is from RefSeq and is a predicted model, not a curated record. NCBI's taxonomy places the organism in Eukaryota, Metazoa, Chordata, Mammalia, Rodentia, Caviidae.